GGGGAUGUAGCUCAGCGGGAGAGCACCUGCUUUGCAAGCAGGGGGUCGGCGGUUCGAAUCCGCUCAUCUCCACCA
RNAcentral lists this transfer RNA (75 nucleotides) under Bacillota bacterium. RNAcentral's name for it is "tRNA-Ala". It matches the Rfam family "tRNA". From Rfam's summary of the family: Transfer RNA (tRNA) molecules are approximately 80 nucleotides in length. Lineage: Bacteria; Bacillati; Bacillota. The record is from RNAcentral. RNAcentral also lists the same sequence under 1 other name.